GAAUCAUGUGUAAGAAUCACAUUUGGAAAUAAACGAAUCAUGUAUAAGAGUCACACAUUGGAAAUGAGCAAAUCAUGUAUAAGAGUCACAUUUGGAAAUAAGCAAAUCAUGUAUAAGAGUCACAUUUGGAAAUAAACGAAUCGUGCAAGAAUCACAUACGGAACUAAACGAAUCAUGUAUAAGAGUCAUGUGGAAAUAAACGAAUCAUGUGCAAGAAUCACAUUUGGAAAUAAACGAAUCAUGUAUAAGAGUCAUGUGGAAAUAAAAGAAUCAUGUAUAAGAAUCAUGUGGAAAUAACUGAGUCAUGUGCAAGAAUCACAUUUGGAAAUGAAGGAAUCAUGUAUAAGAAUGACAUGCGGAAACAACUGAACCAUGUAUAAUUACAUUCCAGCUUGUUCAAGAACUUCCGCUAUGUCAGCGUUACACGCUUUAUCAGACUCGACAUCGAAAGUGAAGGGGACAGCAGGAAAUAAAAAGCACAGACAGAAAUAAAAAAAAGCUUUAACGAGCUGAUGCAUGGGUGGAAAGGAGGAAGUGAAAUAAAAUGAAAAGGAAGUGAGUACAUUUGUGGUCUACUCAGAUCACGCAAGUGCACGGGGUGAAGAAUGUUCAAAAUAAUUUAUUUAAAAAAAUAAAUACAUAAAUAAAAGCUGAGGUGGUUUCUCGGAUGAACGGCCUCCGAAACGAUAACGCAAGGAAAAGUACUACAGAGAAAAGCCAAGGCAAAGAAACCCAGCGGAAGCAGAAGCGCUCGUUUUAUUAUUCUUUACAGCCUGGACAGUCUGCUUUUAGAGAAUCAUUCGUAUACCGAUUGUUUGAACCCGGGGAAAAAAGUACAAUUUUAGAAGAACAAUCGCGGGGUUCAAAACUAAAAGUGUAAACUCCUAACAAAAUCAAAAUGAUAAUUUAUAUAUAGCACACAUCAUAGUCACAAAAUCAACCUCCCUCAAAGCUCCUCAAGUCGACCUGACGGCGAAUAAUAACCAGAAAAACUCCAAUAUAUGUUACUGUAUUCAUGUGGUACUGUUAUUAUAGCUAAAGUUAGCCAUGACCUGCUCGGAUAAUCGCACACGGCUAGCAUUCCCAAGCGCAGAGCUAAAUUUACAGAAAGCCAUUAGCCGCUAGCGCACACCUGUCUCAAUCUGUAAUGCCUAGCAAACACGACGGAUCUCUUACUGCUAACAUCGGCACAUGCUAAUAUUACAGUAGGGCUUUUUGAUCCAGGGCUUCUAUAGCUACAGCCCAAAAAGCCCAUAAUGCUCUGAUAUAUGGCUCAGCAACCAUGCUAAUUCUGCUAGUCUACAAUGUGCUUGGGUACAGUGAUAUGUGGUUCGGGACGUAGCCCAUGAUAGUUUAACUGGAGCAGUUUGGAUUACUUGACUUCGGAAUAUUUCGACACAACACACAUUUAUGGAAAUAAUUGGAAAAUAAUUUGCAUUUGUUUAAUAAAUAUAUAUGUAAAAAAAGAGCUUAUAAUAUAAUUAAAGAAUACUGUAAUGAAGAGAAGGGAUUUUAUAACCAACACUUUUUUUUUUAAUCAGGUGAAGUACAGAAUUAAAAAAAAAUUAAAAUAAAUAAAUAAAUAGAUAAAUAAAAAGGUCCUAAAACGGAGCCUAGAGGAAUGCCGACUGCCUUUUCUACACAUCCGACAAUACAAAUUAUAUACAGUUUAACCAAUUACACUACAGGAGUGAAUUUCAUUUAACACAAAAAAAAAAUGUAAAGAAGAAAUGGAGCUGUUAUUAGAAUAGAAUUAAAUAAUCUGAAUUAAUUCGAAUGAUUUUUUUUUGGAUUGCAAAUAGAAGCUGUGGCAAACAAAGGCAAAGUGUAAGUGCAGAGAAUUUCCACUGCCUGACCUAUUUCGGACUAGUUUCAGGUGCGUUUGUGAGGCUGAUGCAGUUGGGAGGAGAUCUGGCAACCCUGUCCCGGAUCCCUCGGAGGGAUUUUAAAUGGGUCGCCUUUUCAUUUUAUCGGCGUCAGCCUCUUCGGCCUGUCGUCGCUCGUUUAGCCUUGGCUACAUCCCACAAUCGAUGGUACUCAACACCACAGAGAGGUGAAUUUGAGAUUAAGGCGUGGUGUCAGUACGAGGCAGAAGAUACACUUGGUGUCAGCAUCAAUGUAAACUUCAAACCGGGGCUGGUGGAAUAUGAGGAUAAUACGGAUAUCAUGAAUAUAGCUGUUUUUUAAGCAGUAUUUUCAUGGCCAUGGUCGGUGUUUGAUGUUGCUUUAAUGGAGAAAGUUGGCCUUAGUAAGCAUUUCUAUAAAGACUUAUUUUUUGGUGGUAUUUUCAUUGAGAAUGUUGGGGUGUGAAGGCGUUUUAAUGAAGAACGUUGGUAUUUAUAGGCCUUUUAGAAAGAAUCUUGCUUAUUAGUGGCAUUUUCAUGGCCAUUGUUGGCGUUUCAUUUGGCUUUCAUGGAGAAUUCGGGUGUUUGAAGGUGUUUUAAUGAAGAAAGCUAGUGUUAGUAGGUCUUUUGUGAAGAACAUUGAUUUUUUUUCUUUCUUUUUCCCAUUGGCGUUAUUGGUGUACGAUGGUCUCAGUGGAGAAUAUUGGUGUAUGAAGGUGAUCUAACGGAGAAGGCCGGUGUUUAUUGGCGUCUUUAAAGAUGGUGACGGUGUUAAUGGAGAACGUCGGUGUUUGAAGGUGUUUUCGUGAAAAACAGCUGUUUCCUCGGCAUUUGUUGGUGAAAGUCCGUGUUAAAGAAGCUGGUUUUCUGAUGGUGGGUCUUACCAGGACUUUUACUUUUAAAUACUCGAGUACUAUUAUUUUUAUACUACCGGUCAUCCUCCCACUUAAUUGUGAUGAACAUUUUAACUGUGAAGCCACGUGGUGAAGAGUCGUGUAGUUAAAACGCUGCUCAGUAAGAACAGCUUAGAGCCAAAAGGGCAUUCAUUUCUGAAACACAAUCAUCAUCAUAAACACCAUUAUCCUAAUAAAUGUAAGUCUGCCGGAGUUUGAGCCGAAAACAAACAUCAGCUUCCGAGAGUAAUAGCUGGUAGGAGGCAGGAGAACAGAACGACUUUGUAAUUUGUAGGAAGUUGGCGUCGUUAGCGUGCUCGUCGUGUUCAGGCUGCUGAUUUUUACUGCCCUGCUGAGGACCACUCGCAGACAAUAAUUACCAAAUACUGCAGAGCGCUCCACAGCUCUGAAAAUAAGAUCACCCUGGUUCUUAUUUUUUUCAUUUUGCCUUUACAGCCCAUUAACUCCACACUCACACACUAAUUAGGAAGCCAUCACUACCAUUUUCACACUCGCUAGAAUUAAUCAGGAUCGAAACACUGCCCCGGUCCGAAAAAACGAACAAGUAAAUAAACAAACUUCUGAAGCAUAUAACGGGGGGGGCGGGGGGUUUAGAUGUGUGAAGUGUCUGAGCCACGGGAUGUGCCCUGAACAUGGAGGCUCCUGCUGUAGCUCGCUAUUCCUAACAAGAGGAAGAUAUGGAGUGAGUGAGAGUGACGUGCUCCAUUACAGACCCUCAACUCCGGCGUCUGGAUGAUGAUCACAGACUCCUCGGACUAAAGCAUUACUGUAUUUAUAUAUUAAAAAUAAUAAUUUCUUGAUGAGAGCCGGUGAUUUUCUCUCUGUAGAUCAUGAUCUAUUCAGUGGGUUCUCCUCGUCUAAACUUUGCCUAACAAUACAGAGCUAAAUACGAUUCGGUUAUUUUCAUAUUACUUUAAAAAAAAAAAAAAAAAACCCUAGGUACGGAUAAUGAGAUUUAUUAGCUUGUUUUUUUUAAAAAAAAAAAAAAAAAAAAAAAAAAAAAAAACCACAUAAGAAACAGCACAUCUCUUUCAUUAUAUUUUAUUUGAAGCUGGUCAUAUCAACGUGUCGCAGGACGGACUUUCCCCUUUAAAUUAAAUUCACAAUUUAUUCAGAACUCAUGCAAGGUAUUAAAAAAAUAAUAUCCUACACAUUCUCACAAAGCUUCAUGGGAAAAAAAAAAAAAAAAAAACCCCCGUGAGGAAGCGAGAAACGUCUGACGCCUCAGUCAGAAUCAGUGUGUUUACCCUUUAAGCCUAAUUCUCUGGAAACCCUGUAUAAUCCACACACUGACUUACAGUACAGAAGUGAACAUCUGACCAUAAAGCACAGGCGUGUGAAUGACGGCGUUCUGCUGGACAGCGGUGGUGUUUGAAGGGAAAACGGUGGUGAUAGCUGGCUUUUUAUAAAGAAGGGUUUUGUUUUUUAUUGGUGGCAUUUUCAUAGAAAACUGUAGAAGGUAUAUAGAGGUGGAGAAGGUGUAUAAAGAUGGAGAAGGUGUAUAGAGGAGAAGGUGUACAGAGGUGUAGAAGGGGUACAGAGGUGUAGAAGGUGUAUAAAGAUGGAGAAGGUGUAUAGAGGAGAAGGUGUACAGAGGUGUAGAAGGGGUACAGAGGUGUAGAAGGUGUAUAAAGAUGGAGAAGGUGUAUAGAGGAGAAGGUGUACAGAGGUGUAGAAGGGGUACAGAGGUGUAGAAGGGGUACAGAGGUGUAGAAGGUGUAUAGAGGAGAAGGUGUACAGAGGUGUAGAAGGGGUACAGAGGUGUAGAAGGUGUAUAAAGAUGGAGAAGGUGUAUAGAGGUGUAGAAGGUGUAUAGAGGUGGAGAAGGUAUACAGAGGUGGAGAAGGUAUAGAAGGGGUACAGAGGUGGAGAAGGUGUAUAGAGGAGGAGGUGUAUAGAGGAGGAGGUGUAUAGAGGAGGAGGUGUAUAGAGGAGAAGGUGUAUAGAGGAGGAGGUGUAUAGAGGAGAAGGUGUAUAGAGGAGGAGGUGUAUAGAGGAGGAGGUGUAUAGAGGAGGAGGUGUAUAGAGGAGGAGGUGUAUAGAGGUGGAGAAGGUAUAGACCAUGUAGAAGGUGUUUUGAUGGAGAAUGUUGCUGCUUGACGGUACAUGUCGGGGUAUUAUAGUGUUCUAAUGAAGAACAUUGGUUUUUCAUGAGGUUUUCAUGCUUGUUUUUGGUGAUCGAGGGUAUUUUAGUGGGUGUUUUAGAGGAAAAUGUCGGUGUUGGCCGUUUUUUAAAGAAUCUUAGUUUUAUCGUGUCAUUUUCCUGGAGAAUGCUGGUGCUUAAAGGCUUUUUAAAUGAAAACGCUGCUGCUAGUACGCCGUUUGUAAUGAUUUUGGUGAUAUUUUCAUUGGGGGCGUUGGUGUUUCCUGAACUUUCAUACCGAAUGUUGCCGUUUCGUAGUAUUUUCACGGCCGUUGUUGGUGUCUGAUGUUGGUUUAAUGGAGAAAGUCGGUGUUAAUAUGCCUUUUAUAAGAAUGUGGGUUUUUGGUGGUAUUUCCAUGGCGAUUGUUGGUGUUUUAAUGAAAGCGCUGGUGUUACUGAGUCUUUCUAUAAAGAAUGUUGAUCUCUGGUGACAUCUUCAGGGAGAACGUUGGCGUGUCGUUAUGUUUUAAUGGAGAAUGUCGGUAUUUGAAGGUGCUUUAAUGAAAAACGUCAGUGCGAGUAGGUCUUUUUCGUAAAUUGUAUUGUAUUUUCAUUGGAAUCGUUGGUGUAUCGAUGGCCUUCAGUGGAGAACGUUGGGGCUUGAAGCGAUUUUAACGAAGAAUGUUGUAGCUUUCAGAAAGAAUUAUGGUUUGUGGUGGUAUUUUGAAGGACGACGCAGGUGUCUGUCGGCCAUUUUAACUGUAAACGUUGGCGUUUGAUAUAGUUUUACUGGAGACUGUUGGUGUUUGAAGGUGUGCAGAUGAAAAAAACGUAGCUGGGCUUUGUUAAAGGAUUGGUCAGCGCCGGGUUUUAAAACGCGACCGAGAUUUCAGACCGUGAAACUACGGAAGUCAGUUUGACCUCAGAGUAUUUUUAUUUAGCUUUAACGUGCGCAGAGAUCCCAGUUUCCAAAAACGCUAAUCUGAUUGGAGAGUGUGAGAACAGCAGAGUUUCCGGCAACUAGCUUCUCCAACCGGCAAACGUCUGAGAAGACGACCUAGAACAAAAUAAAAUUAACAAAACAAAAGAAAUAUAAAUUUUCGCUUCUCCACGCAUGCAUUACUCUAUGACUCUAAAGACAUCAAGAGUCGACACAUGAGAAUCCCCGAGGAAUCUAGCCACAAGUAAAUGCUAUAAAUUAGCACAAAGCCC
Ictalurus punctatus (channel catfish) is the source of this 6053-nucleotide long non-coding RNA. NCBI's taxonomy places the organism in Eukaryota, Metazoa, Chordata, Actinopteri, Siluriformes, Ictaluridae. The record is from Ensembl.